Molecule: ribosomal RNA, 530 nt
Filed under: Streptomyces rameus
Lineage: Bacteria; Bacillati; Actinomycetota; Actinomycetes; Kitasatosporales; Streptomycetaceae
Description: bacterial SSU rRNA
Rfam family: Bacterial small subunit ribosomal RNA
Source: RNAcentral
GAACGCUGGCGGCGUGCUUAACACAUGCAAGUCGAACGAUGAACCACUUCGGUGGGGAUUAGUGGCGAACGGGUGAGUAACACGUGGGCAAUCUGCCCUUCACUCUGGGACAAGCCCUGGAAACGGGGUCUAAUACCGGAUAUGACCAUCUUGGGCAUCCUUGAUGGUGUAAAGCUCCGGCGGUGAAGGAUGAGCCCGCGGCCUAUCAGCUUGUUGGUGAGGUAAUGGCUCACCAAGGCGACGACGGGUAGCCGGCCUGAGAGGGCGACCGGCCACACUGGGACUGAGACACGGCCCAGACUCCUACGGGAGGCAGCAGUGGGGAAUAUUGCACAAUGGGCGAAAGCCUGAUGCAGCGACGCCGCGUGAGGGAUGACGGCCUUCGGGUUGUAAACCUCUUUCAGCAGGGAAGAAGCGAAAGUGACGGUACCUGCAGAAGAAGCGCCGGCUAACUACGUGCCAGCAGCCGCGGUAAUACGUAGGGCGCAAGCGUUGUCCGGAAUUAUUGGGCGUAAAGAGCUCGUAGGCGG